This 440-nucleotide ribosomal RNA is filed under the name uncultured bacterium. Its description in RNAcentral is "partial 16S ribosomal RNA". It matches the Rfam family "Bacterial small subunit ribosomal RNA", at positions 338 to 795 of the family's 1533-position model. The record is from RNAcentral.
CCUACGGGUGGCAGCAGUGGGGGAUAUUGCACAAUGGGGGAAACCCUGAUGCAGCGACGCCGCGUGUGGGAAGACGGUCCUCUGGAUUGUAAACCACUGUCCCCAGGGACGAAGAUGACGGUACCUGGGGAGGAAGCUCCGGCUAACUACGUGCCAGCAGCCGCGGGAAUACGUAGGGAGCGAGCGUUGUCCGGAAUUACUGGGUGUAAAGGGAGCGUAGGCGGGACUGCAAGUUGGGUGUCAAAUCUACCGGCUCAACCGGUUGCCGCACUUGAAACUGCAGAUCUUGAGUGAAGUAGAGGCAGGCGGAAUGCCUAGUGUAGCGGUGAAAUGCAUAGAUAUUAGGAGGAACACCAGUGGCGAAGGCGGCCUGCUGGGCUUUUACUGACGCUGAGGCUCGAAAGUGUGGGGAGCGAACAGGAUUAGAUACCCGUGUAGUC